GUCCUAGCCGUAAACGAUGCAUACUGGAUGUAGGAAGGCUCAACCCUUUCUGUAUCGGAGCUAACGCGUUAAGUAUGCCGCCUGGGGAGUACGCCCGCAAGGGUGAAACUCAAAAGAAUUGACGGGGGCCCGCACAAGCAGUGGAGCAUGUGGUUUAAUUCGAUGCAACGCGAAGAACCUUACCCAGGCUCGAAGUGUAGAGAAAAACAGCAGAAAUGUUGCGUCCCGAAAGGGGCUCUAUAUAGGUGCUGCAUGGCUGUCGU
RNAcentral lists this ribosomal RNA (263 nucleotides) under uncultured bacterium. RNAcentral describes it as "partial 16S ribosomal RNA". It matches the Rfam family "Bacterial small subunit ribosomal RNA", at positions 793 to 1055 of the family's 1533-position model. The record is from RNAcentral.